CCAAAGGUCUAGAUGAUAGGAUCCCUUGGUUAAUCAAAGUGUAUGUUCAGCUAUAUAAGGGUAGCACACCAACGUGUGCUCGGAUCAGCCUAUUCGAUGCGGAGUAGGAACCGAGUUCAUAACGAUUACGGUAUACUAUAGUUUUUUUUGGAAAAGUAUACUGUAGAUAGAUAAAUUCCAAGCCCAACUUUACAUGCCCCACGUAUGAAGCCUAUUCAGGCCAAGCAGUUUUGACAACACCACGUAUAAACAACCCGUACAGGUUAUCAUCAUCUACUUACAACUCCCCUCCUUUAUAUAUACAAAUAAAAAAACUCUCAGCUCAGUCGUUCCCCUCCAGUAUCCUUAUCCAUCCGCACGCACCACUUCUUCCAUUAGCCGGCUGAUUAAGAUCUUGCUGCUUGCCAUCACCAAAUUGAUUCUCAAACCAUCACGGCUGAUUCAUUCCUUCCCAUUUCUCUUCGUGUAGGUACUGGCACAGUUUGCCGUUGAGCAGAGUGCACGGACGCAUCCGUCGCAUUCUCAAGGAUGUGGAUUCUCGACGACCUCGUGGAGUUCGGCAGAGCGUUCUCAAGGGUUUCGGCCAAGAUGAUGACCUCUUCUUGGCGUACGGCUAGAGGUCCAUGGCAGAGGUGUUGUAGUUUGGCCCAGUGGAGGAGGCUGCGAGGGAAAUCACCGAGUCAUGUACUGAGUGAGUUAUUAGAUCUGACAUCUAGAGAAUACAAAUAGAAGCCGACGACCAUGAGAUGCUGGCCUUCUCAUUGUUCUUGCUGUCAGGCUACCACUAACUGUAAGUGCCAACCGAGGAUUAUUUCUUAUACUUUAUCCAUAGUAGUAUUGUACUCCAUAGUAUUUUUAAUUUGUUAUUUGCAAGAAAUGAUGCCUUUUCCCUUAAAAAGGGCCUUAUGAAGAGAAAGUUUGUUCACCUUGGAUAUUAAUUUUGUUAUAGGUUUGUUGAGCAGCUCACUUGUGCUAGCAAGACGCCAUGGAUUUGCUUAUAACAAAUCCUGCUAUUAAGUUACAGAUGAAGCAAGGUAUGUUCCUCUCUGUUGUUCUGGCGAAGUAUAGUUUCUUCAAAUUAGCCCUAAUUAUCUUGAUAAGCUACCGAUCCGCUAAUUAUCUUGAUAACAUCCUUUUUCUCCUGGCCUUCGAUUUCGGUACUUCAUCUUCAUUUUCAACCAUUUUAUUUUUGGCUUCUGCUUUAACAUGUUCCUUGUUCCCGCAAACACCUUUUCCCUUUUGUUGAGGCAUAUUGGUCUCAAUGCAUUCAUCCUCUGACUCGUCUGAUAUUACAACAAAUCUCAGUCUCCUUUUAGUGCCACUGCGGAGCUCACGUGAUGACGAUGAUAUUUUGUCUUGACGCUUAUCUUUGUUUAAUGUAGUCCCAGUGCUGUCAUGUGGCUCCUCUUUCACAGGCACCUGUUCACAUGAAAGUUUGCCAGAUGAAACUUUAUUAUUCUGUGACUGCAAACAUAUACAUUUUGAAAAUUAGACACACCUCUAAAAUCUGAAGUGCGUAUAUAGUUAAAAAAAUCAAUCACCUUUGUAUCUGGCAUGUUUUGCUUCUUCAUUAACACGGUGUCCACCUCAUCAUCCAUCAAUUCCUGCGAAACAUAUAUAAGAUGGAUUAGUUAAGGAAGUUCGAAGAUGGUAAAAAGUUAAUGUAGCUUUACCUCCUCAGCUUUAUUGUCCAAAUAGAGCAUCUCAAGCCUAUCAUCGGGCACAAAUGUUCUUUUUACUGCAUAGUUUUGUGUGCCAAAUGUGAGAUUAUUAUCAUUGAGCUUGAAUCUAAAUAUAAGUCUUCUUCCACAUAAUUGUUGAAUAAUCUUUGGCACUUCUUCUGAUUUCCCAUCUUGUGUGUCCAGCAACUUAGAUGCAGAUGUAUUAAGCAAUCUUGCAGCCUCCUCGUCAAAUAAAGUGCAACUUGUAGUAGAUGUAUGGUCACUAAUUUGGAGUCGAACACGAUACCUAACAUACGAUUCGUGUUAGUAGGGAGUAAAUAUAAUAUAACAGUUCUUGUUCAUAUUUUAGUAAUAUAAUAUGCUUACUGAGGUGUGACCUUUUCUGGAUAUAUACCACAACUCUUGCAAUAAUAAUUUUCGGUUUCCUUGGUAGCCAAUUUGUGGCACUUGUCACAUGACAUGUACCACCAUUGAAUAUUUUCUUGCAAACGAUCUACUGUAGCUAUUGCUGUGAAUACAAAAUCCUGAAAAAAUAGUGUUAGCAUUUGAGUGGUGUGUGGGAUUAAGAGGCAUAAAUAAGCACAGUGUGGUUUCAUUGUAACCAAUAUUAAAUGAAUUGUCCAUGCCGGUCUUAUCUCGUAUCACAGAGAUUGAUAGUAUCAUUUAUUGGAAUUCUGAUGCAUUACCUGGUCUGACUUGUUUCCGUGCCUCAUUGUAGUAAGUUCUUGUAAUGUUAUCCUCUUAUAAAACAUCUGUUCUUCUAGUGUUCCUUGAUUACUUCUAUCUAUACUGAUCAUUUUUGGUAAGGUUUUUUCUGUUGAGUCCCUGCACAUGUAUGAAGUAGAUAAGAAUAUAAAAUCUUGAAUCAACCUGACUCACUAAUUAUGAGUGAAAAAAUAAACUGGAGGUGUUUUAUACCUAUCAAGAAGUUCUUGUGUUUCUGGUAUAUCCAGAUCAAUAUAUAUUCUUGUGGCACUCGUUGACUUUAGGCACAAACCUAUUUAAUCAAUCAAUUAGAAUUUGUAAAUGAUAAGAAUAGCAUGUAAGAUCUAUGCACUUACCAUUGAAUCUCUGCACCAUCGUUGAUGUGAUAAUAAGGAUAGUUUGGCUGCCGAUUACAUCCUCGGUCAGAAAAUAAGCAAACUUUCCCCAUAGCGUGAUUCUGAUUUUAUCACCCCUAAAGAAUUUAAUCUGAGAAGUUAGUGCUAACCACAUGGGGGAAGUUUAGUUAAAUUUGAGACAUGCAUAUGCAUAUACACUUACUCUGGCAUUAGGAUUUCAAUCUCACGGAUAUAGGAAGGUUGUGGGUUCCUUUUUGUUAUUCUUGUCUCCACUGGCUUCAUUUGAGUUAGUAGUCCAAUGACAUCUGCAUAUUUGGAGAUUAGUGAUAUAAAAAUUAGAAAUAUCAAUUAUUUGGAGGUCAUAAUUACAACUACAAACAUACCUGAGCAUUGUUCUUUUUCGGCCCUUUCUUCUAGUGUGUCCAUGGUAGCAAACUCGAAGCAAUAAUCUGGGAGAACUUUCGAAGAUCCUUUUAUUUCCUUUACCUUUGUAUUGUAUGCAAAAAAUAUUUUAAUUUCAUUGCUCACUGGCCUAUAUUUUGUGGAUUCCACGACCUUAAAAUUGCUGAAUGCAUAAAUAGAUUUUUCAUUGAUCUUUGAUCUAAAUGUGUCUAUAAGAUUCUUCCACAUAGUAGCAUGGAUUGUUUGACCCUGUUAAAAGAAUCAAAUAUGGUUAGUAAUUUGCUUCAUAUGACAAAAAAAUUAUAAUUUAAUAUAUUAGAAAACAAACCUGCUCAUCCAUCAGUAUCAUAUCUAUGCUAAUAAGCUCAUCGGUCAUAGGAUUCACUGAAUCCCAAAUUCUCAUUACUUUCACUUGAAUAUUCCAAUUCUAUCCUCUUGUAGUUAAGUCGCUCAACUUCUUGUAUGCCAUGUUCUUAUGUCUUAAAAAUUAACAGGGAACAGUUUAUCAAUUUAUAUAGUAUUUAUGAAGAUUCUGCACAUAAAAAGUAAGCUUGUGAAAUAACAAUUACCAAAUCUGAUGAAUCAGGUCAGAAGUGAUUUUGCGCCAAUUCUUCCAACGUCGCUUCAUCGGGUGUCGAGUGUGCUUACGCGUGAAUUUGUGGGGCGUCGAGUGAAGCGGCUGGACGUGGCUUUUCGUCUGGACGUUGAGUUGCGUGUGGCGUGUUCAAGUCGCCGUGGUCGUUUUCUUGUAAUUGUUUGAUGGGUACUUUUGCAGCCGUGUGUACUUAUUUAUAUAUGGGUUUAGGUGUCUUGGUUUGUGGUGGCUGGGACCGGCUGGAAAUCAUAUGCCUACACCGUGUGCUAAUCAAACUUGUUUUGUUUGUUUGUAUUCGUUCCUGAAACUUUCCUCACGUGAGGGAGUUGUCCUUAUACGUUUAAUAUUAGGUUCCUUAUAUCUUUUAGGUUUGACUAAUAUUUUUUUCCUUACCAUUGACCCAUCGAUGGGAAGUUCUUUUUGUACGGGCUAGUUGUAGACGCGUGCUUUGGAACCUAUGUGGACUACUUCUACGUGACAU
RNAcentral lists this long non-coding RNA (4221 nucleotides) under Triticum aestivum (bread wheat). RNAcentral describes it as "long non-coding RNA (TAES_LNC016341)". Lineage: Eukaryota; Viridiplantae; Streptophyta; Magnoliopsida; Poales; Poaceae. The record is from RNAcentral.